Long non-coding RNA from Perca fluviatilis (European perch), 740 nucleotides. RefSeq lists it as uncharacterized. The transcript has 3 exons. The record is from RefSeq and is a predicted model, not a curated record. NCBI's taxonomy places the organism in Eukaryota, Metazoa, Chordata, Actinopteri, Perciformes, Percidae.
UCCCAUCUAGCGGUGAAAUAGUAUUUAGCAUUCAAACGCAUAGUGCUCUUUAGCAUGUCGCAACUACGGUAGCCAUUAUGUACCAAGAGCUAUGACAACAUGUCUUCCAAUAUUCGCUUUUUUGGCGACGAGAAUUCCUUCUCCUGUGGCUCGACCUCGUUUCAGUCAAGUGAUGCUGGCUCUGAACGAAAACGCGUUGUGGAUUAGCUAGACAGGUGCAGAUGGAUUCCUCCUCUCUGCCCCUAUACCGCCGCAUCCUACAGCAAAGGAGCCGUCAAAAAAAUCUGAAGCGUGCUGUGCAGAGAGUGAAUAUGAAAGGUGUGAGGUGUUGUUCCCAAGGAGCCUUUCUCUUCUGUAACAUUUCCAACACAAUGCUCUGGAGUAGGCCAAACUGGACUGCACAUCUGUCAAUUAAAUAGUCCGUAAUCCAGGGAAGCCAUGCUGCUGUCCACCUUUUUCACUUUGAGCUUCACCCGUAGGGGGUCGGAUGGCCAUGAAAGCAGUGCAAUCAAAAAGCAUGAUUGCCAUCACGCAACCACCUCUCUGGGUGGGGAGUAAGCCCUGCCGAGCUGGUACAGUACGUGAUGAAAUUGUCCACAAUUAUUAUGGUACUCUGGCUGAAAAGAAUACGCUACCUUUGAUUGGAGUAAAAUGUAUGUAUUUAUUUUCAUAUUAUGAUGUGAUAUUAUUUUUCGAGUUAUAAUUGGACAACUGAGGAUUGAGCUAAAAUGUACAAGAAC